UACGAGAUCAGAACUUGGAUGAGGUA
Molecule: small RNA, 26 nt
Filed under: Bombyx mori (domestic silkworm)
Lineage: Eukaryota; Metazoa; Arthropoda; Insecta; Lepidoptera; Bombycidae
Description: ovarian small RNA-20989
Source: RNAcentral